UUGAGGUGACAGCAAUAGAAAGCAAGGGCUGAGCAGAGCAGAGAGCAUAGCAUGGGACACUGGUUGUGCUGGCAAGGAAUGGUCCAGCAGCACAUGCUCCCAAGCCACCAGCUUGUCACUGCCUGCUCUGCAAGCAGAUGCGAGUGGCUGCAAGGUUGUGGCAUGAAGCGGUGCUCUCAGCCAGCAUUCCCCAAAGGGAGAUCUGCAGGGAAUCACACAUUCUCCGCAUGGACUUAUGUACGAAAGGAAGCAGCUGGUCCCUGACAUUUAUUGCUCUGCUCAGUUUGGGAAGUUUGGCUGAAAUGCUGCAUAAAAACUUGUUUCUCUCA
Molecule: non-coding RNA, 329 nt
Organism: Coturnix japonica (Japanese quail)
Lineage: Eukaryota; Metazoa; Chordata; Aves; Galliformes; Phasianidae
Source: RefSeq, a predicted model, not a curated record